UAGGGAAUAUUGGACAAUGGGUGCAAGCCUGAUCCAGCCAUGCCGCGUGCAGGAAGAAGGCUUUCUGAGUUGUAAACUGCUUUUGCCAGGGGAUAAAAUGCCCGUGCGCGGGAAAUUGAAGGUACCUGGUGAAUAAGCCACGGCUAACUACGUGCCAGCAGCCGCGGUAAUACGUAGGUGGCAAGCGUUGUCCGGAUUUAUUGGGUUUAAAGGGUGCGUAGGCGGUCUUCUAAGUCAGUUGUGAAAUACUUCAGCUUAACUGGAGAGGUGCAAUUGAUACUGGAAGACUUGAGUACUGAUGAGGUAGGCGGAAUGGACGGUGUAGCGGUGAAAUGCUUAGAUAUCGUCCAGAACACCGAUAGCGAAGGCAGCUUACUAAGGAGUAACUGACGCUGAGGCACGAAAGUGUGGGGAUCAAACAG
RNAcentral lists this ribosomal RNA (422 nucleotides) under uncultured bacterium. Its description in RNAcentral is "bacterial SSU rRNA". It matches the Rfam family "Bacterial small subunit ribosomal RNA", at positions 355 to 775 of the family's 1533-position model. The record is from RNAcentral.